This 497-nucleotide ribosomal RNA is filed under the name uncultured bacterium. RNAcentral describes it as "partial 16S ribosomal RNA". It matches the Rfam family "Bacterial small subunit ribosomal RNA", at positions 28 to 507 of the family's 1533-position model. The record is from RNAcentral.
GACGAACGCUGGCGGCGUGCCUAAUACAUGCAAGUUGAGCGCUGAAGGUUGGUACUUGUACCAACUGGAUGAGCAGCGAACGGGUGAGUAACGCGUGGGGAAUCUGCCUCUGAGCGGGGGACAACAUUUGGAAACGAAUGCUAAUACCGCAUAAAAACUUUAAACACAAGUUUUAAGUUUGAAAGAUGCAAUUGCAUCACUCAAAGAUGAUCCCGCGUUGUAUUAGCUAGUUGGUGAGGUAAAGGCUCACCAAGGCGAUGAUACAUAGCCGACCUGAGAGGGUGAUCGGCCACAUUGGGACUGAGACACGGCCCAAACUCCUACGGGAGGCAGCAGUAGGGAAUCUUCGGCAAUGGACGAAAGUCUGACCGAGCAACGCCGCGUGAGUGAAGAAGGUUUUCGGAUCGUAAAACUCUGUUGGUAGAGAAGAACGUUGGUGAGAGUGGAAAGCUCAUCAAGUGACGGUAACUACCCAGAAAGGGACGGCUAACUACGUG